UUUGUUUGUUGUAAAUAAAAGGAUUGGGAACAGAUGUUGGCCUUGUGCCAGUUUAGGUCUGUGCACUUUUCUUGUCAAACAAGCUUGCCAAAAAAAGACAAAGGAAAAGUAGGCGUUCUUUUUCUUGCUCUUCCUUUAUGCAAACACCCAUCUGAGCCCUUGACCUCUGAUAAUCAAGCAAAGACAAAGUUAAAAUUAGUAACUCAUCUCUAUCAAACAAAAAAGUACUUGGCCUGAUAACACAAUACUUAUAAAAAACGAUGGCAUGGUAGGUGAAAGAUGUUAAUUGAAAUUAAAAAGAAUUUACCUUUCUGCUUUGCUCCUUCAAAACAUUCCUCCUCUGUUUCCUUUCAUCACUCUUUUGCAGCUGCAUAAAAAAAGAAAAAAAAGUCUCUUAUAGAACAGAUUAUAUUCAAACAAUAUUGAACUUAUGAUAACAAAAAUGAGGCACGAAAACAUGAAAAAGAUUGCUGCGGUGAAAAAUGAUUUACCAUUUUUCUGAUACCAUCAAGCAACAUGCUACCUGAUGCAUAUGGUUUUGUUAAAUCAAUGUUAGAGGCCUGAACUUUAGAAACAUUGCCAUGAAAAGUUUGGUCCAGGUCUUCAUUGAUAUUGUUGCUCUCUGAAUUUUGAUGGUUGGUAUCUCUGCUUACAUCCCC
RNAcentral lists this long non-coding RNA (659 nucleotides) under Triticum aestivum (bread wheat). Its description in RNAcentral is "long non-coding RNA (TAES_LNC014377)". The record is from RNAcentral. Lineage: Eukaryota; Viridiplantae; Streptophyta; Magnoliopsida; Poales; Poaceae.